This 266-nucleotide ribosomal RNA is filed under the name uncultured Actinomycetales bacterium. RNAcentral's name for it is "partial 16S ribosomal RNA". It matches the Rfam family "Bacterial small subunit ribosomal RNA", at positions 524 to 789 of the family's 1533-position model. The record is from RNAcentral. Lineage: Bacteria; Bacillati; Actinomycetota; Actinomycetes; Actinomycetales.
UACGUAGGGCGCAAGCGUUGUCCGGAAUUAUUGGGCGUAAAGAGCUCGUAGGCGGUCUGUCGCGUCUGCUGUGAAAUCCCGAGGCUCAACCUCGGGCUUGCAGUGGGUACGGGCAGACUAGAGUGCGGUAGGGGAGAAUGGAAUUCCUGGUGUAGCGGUGGAAUGCGCAGAUAUCAGGAGGAACACCGAUGGCGAAGGCAGUUCUCUGGGCCGUAACUGACGCUGAGGAGCGAAAGCGUGGGGAGCGAACAGGAUUAGAUACCCUG